CCAAAGGCUCUUUUCAGAGCCACUUUCAUUUUCACCGAGAGCGGCU
Non-coding RNA from Canis lupus familiaris (dog), 46 nucleotides. The record is from Rfam. NCBI's taxonomy places the organism in Eukaryota, Metazoa, Chordata, Mammalia, Carnivora, Canidae.